Molecule: unclassified non-coding RNA, 235 nt
Filed under: Hevea brasiliensis (rubber tree)
Lineage: Eukaryota; Viridiplantae; Streptophyta; Magnoliopsida; Malpighiales; Euphorbiaceae
Source: RNAcentral
GGGAAUGGUGAAUGGUGUACCAAAGCACUGCAAGAACUUAUGGGUGGGUUGCUGGAAAAUCAUAUGGUUAUGUCACUAGAUUUUGAGGAAAGAGCGGGUUUUUAAAUUGGAAACGAUAGAAGGAUAUAUGUUUUUCUUUUUUGAUCAGUAAAAGUAACAUUUAUAUAAAGUUACCAGCAAGAAGCAAUUGCUGUGUGGAUAGAUGACAGAAGAAAUAUCCUUCUUUGUUGACAAC